GGGAGGUGACACGGAAGAGCGCAGGAGGGCGGUGAGGGGAGACGGGGGUUGGCAGAAAGACAAGUGUGCAGCUUGGAGUCAGGACGAGGUGGGUCCCAGGUCAGGACUCGGAAGCGGGAUGUGCGGAGCCGGAGCCAGGAGCCGGAUGACAGGGCAGCCGAGGCUUGCAGGAUGGCAGCAGGGGCACGAGGAGAGCAGAAGAGGGAGGAGGCUCCGCAAGGUGCAAAGGGCCCAGCCAGAGAAUUCGGGGAGCCCUCGGGGCUCCUUACCUGCUCCGUGUCCCUCUCGUUCAGCGUGGGUAGGGGGGUCCGAGCGCUGGACAUGGCGCCGGUAUCUCGGGGGAGGGAACCGAGAAGCUUGGAGGAAGGGAGGGAAGGGAAGGCGCGGAGCCCGGCCGGGCGGGGCUUCUCACAGCAGGAGCACCCGCCGCAUGGGCCCC
This 439-nucleotide long non-coding RNA is filed under the name Homo sapiens (human). Lineage: Eukaryota; Metazoa; Chordata; Mammalia; Primates; Hominidae. The record is from RNAcentral.